CAUGGCCAGGGCUGCACACUCCAAAGAGCCAGCAGGAGCCGGGAAAAGGCAGAAGCCCUGGCAGGGCAGGAACCUUGUGCUCCCUGGGAGCAGCUGCGGCCAUCCAGCUGUGGCUGUGGACCUGGGCAUCCCUGUGCUCUUGGGAGCUGGGAUUGGGCAGGAGCCCUGCCCUUCUGGAGUGUAGCUGCAGCUGCCCAAGCCAUGGCUACGGACCUGGGCGUCCCCUCUUGGGGGCCUGGGAAAGGCCCCCUCCCACCUGCAGGCUUGGAAGUGCCUGCUCCCACUACCUGGCCUCUCCCUGCUCCCUGCACCUACUCUGAUCUUGGAGCAAAGUUGAGGUCGAGCCCAGGAGCUGUUGCAACCUGGUUGGGUGUGUGCACAAUUGGGGCAGCACUGACGCUCCAGCCCCCUGCUGCCUUGGCUGCCUCUGGACUUUGGGCACUGGACAAUAACUCAGGACUCACUGAAUGGUGGGGCUGAAAGAGCUGUAACACAAACAAGGCUGAAACACACCCCUUGCUCACCACACUGUGGGUGACAAGGAGAGAAGAGAGAAGGAGAGAAGAGUUGCGGCCCUUCAGGGAGCCCAGACCUAGGAUCUCCCCCAGCCAGGGCUGUGACACCCUCUUUGGGGCUCUGCGGUUCCUGGUGUCUUCAAGCUUCUGAGCACCACU
This 674-nucleotide long non-coding RNA is filed under the name Homo sapiens (human). RNAcentral's name for it is "HSALNT0211722". The record is from RNAcentral. Lineage: Eukaryota; Metazoa; Chordata; Mammalia; Primates; Hominidae.